CAGUAGCCGCGGGAAUACGUAGGUGGCAAGCGUUGUCCGGAAUUAUUGGGCGUAAAGGGCUCGUAGGCGGUUUCUUAAGUCUGAUGUGAAAGCCCCCGGCUCAACCGGGGAGGGUCAUUGGAAACUGGGAAACUUGAGUGCAGAAGAGGAGAGUGGAAUUCCACGUGUAGCGGUGAAAUGCGUAGAGAUGUGGAGGAACACCAGUGGCGAAGGCGACUCUCUGGUCUGUAACUGACGCUGAGGAGCGAAAGCGUGGGGAGCGAACAGGAUUAGAUACCCCUGUAGUCCCUGUCUCUUAUAC
RNAcentral lists this ribosomal RNA (301 nucleotides) under uncultured bacterium. RNAcentral's name for it is "partial 16S ribosomal RNA". It matches the Rfam family "Bacterial small subunit ribosomal RNA", at positions 509 to 807 of the family's 1533-position model. The record is from RNAcentral.